Molecule: ribosomal RNA, 253 nt
Filed under: uncultured prokaryote
Description: partial 16S ribosomal RNA
Rfam family: Bacterial small subunit ribosomal RNA
Source: RNAcentral
ACGGGGGGAGCAAGCGUUGUUCGGAAUCACUGGGCGUAAAGGGCGUGUAGGCGGUCAGGUAAGUGAGACGUGAAAUGCCUCGGCUCACCCGAGGAGCGGCGUCUCAUACUGCUUGGCUUGAGUACGGGAGAGGAUGUGGGAAUUCCUGGUGUAGCGGUGAAAUGCGUAGAUAUCAGGAGGAACACCGGUGGCGAAGGCGGCUUCCUGGACCGACACUGACGCUGAGGCGCGAAAGCUAGGGGAGCAAACGGGA